RNAcentral lists this ribosomal RNA (253 nucleotides) under uncultured bacterium. RNAcentral's name for it is "partial 16S ribosomal RNA". It matches the Rfam family "Bacterial small subunit ribosomal RNA", at positions 524 to 776 of the family's 1533-position model. The record is from RNAcentral.
UACAGAGGUCUCAAGCGUUGUUCGGAUUCAUUGGGCGUAAAGGGUGCGUAGGCGGCGCCGUAAGUCUGGUGUGAAAUCCCGGAGCUUAACUCCGGAACUGCACUGGAUACUGCGGUGCUUGAGGACUGGAGAGGAGAAUGGAAUUCCCGGUGUAGCGGUGAAAUGCGCAGAUAUCGGGAAGAACACCCGUGGCGAAGGCGGUUCUCUGGGACGGUACUGACGCUGAGACGCGAAAGCGUGGGGAGCAAACAGG